This 1218-nucleotide long non-coding RNA is filed under the name Equus asinus (donkey). RNAcentral's name for it is "lncRNA (ENSEASG00005027238.1)". The record is from RNAcentral. Lineage: Eukaryota; Metazoa; Chordata; Mammalia; Perissodactyla; Equidae.
UGGCGGGCGAUGGCCUCGGCCAAAGGACGGGGAGCGAAGUCCGGGAGGCAGCGGAACCGGGGUGCAGGGUGCGGUGAGGCGACCAGGGCGGGCGAGGUCCGGGACCUGGCAUUUGGGUCUCCCGGCCGCAGGCGCGCGCGCGAGGGUUUCAGCCUGUGUCUAGGGCCCAUGGGGAGCUUUCACCUCCGGCCUCCUGAGGAAAGCUUUGGCCAUGUGACUUAUCUGGUUAAUGAACUGUUGGCGGAAGCAUAUGUGUCACUUUUGGGCAGAGGCCUCUAAGGGCCAUAGUGGUGGUUCCAGAUGGUGGAGGCUCCAUCAGCCUAAGCCUUGGAGGGAGAACUCUGUUUGGGUUCCACCAUCGGAGGAGAUGCCCUGGUUCAGGGGUAAAUCCUGACUUGUCUAAACCAAUCAUGACAGAGCCAUCUCCCUGCCUGCGGUUGGCUGGGGCUGAGCUCGUGACCGAGAUUUGACCAUGGAGACAGAUGUGGAAGUACUUGCCAUGGGCCUUCUUGUUAAAAAGAAACACAGAAUGCAGAAUUUCCUGGAUUUUAGGACGUUAUAUGACACCCCCAUCAGACUCCAAGGCAGCACCUCCUGAUGAAACACAUUAAUUAAUGGUUCUGCAGCAGAAUGUAAAAAAUAUUCUUAUCAAGCAAGACGAGUCAAGACUGCAAAUACCUGUGGAUUAGUCCACAUUGAGUCUUGCUGCUGAAUGAAAUAGCCUCAAACCUAGCAAAGCCCAGACAUCUUUCUGGUCUUCAGAACUUUGUGAAUUUUGGGUUGAGGAUAGGGACUGUGGACAUGAAUCAUUCUUCAAUGCUUUCGUCUGCAUUUCCCUGACUACUUGAGAUGUUGAACUGACACUGGCCCUGAUAUUGGUCCCCGUGUGUUAAUCCAGCACAUGUGGGGUUAAAACCGAAAGCACUCAUCCCCUUUACUGCUUACUCUUUGGCUAUCUGGCACCAGAAUCCUCCCUCCACGGAGGCAGACAAGGACACCCACCUGUGGAUUCCCUUAGCUCACCAGCCCUUUUCCUACAAGCAGCCACAUUCCUUGCAAGCUUUAAAACCCCUUGCCUCCCAUCUUUUGGGGAGAUGAGAGAAAUUUGAGGGCUCACUCUUGUCUCCCGGCUGACAUCGCCUGAAAUAAAAACCUUUCCUUGCUGUAAGCCUGGUGUUCAGGUUUUAUUUGGCUCCUCUUGUGUGGUGGGUGAAGAAC